Long non-coding RNA from Corvus hawaiiensis (hawaiian crow), 933 nucleotides. RefSeq lists it as uncharacterized. The transcript is spliced from 4 exons. Lineage: Eukaryota; Metazoa; Chordata; Aves; Passeriformes; Corvidae. The record is from RefSeq and is a predicted model, not a curated record.
AUCCAUCCCUUGACGCCGGGAGCUGGAAUCACAGCCCUCCACCGCCGGUGUUUAUUAUCGCUGUGGGACCUUUGUGCCGGCUGGGAGCGCCGUGGUGACGUUUCCCGCCCAUGGUGCCCAUGGUGACGGCGCGGCUCCCCCGCUCCCGUGGCACCCCUGCCCGCCGCACCCCGGCUCAGCGGGGCAGGGCCCCGCUAUUUAACGCGUGCCCGACAGCCGGGAGAGCCGUGCCAAGGGCGGCGAUCCCGAGUGCUGCCGGCAUUGCCUCCUCUGGGAACUUUUCCGCAGGUUUGCUCGGAGACCACUGAGGAGGAUGUGUGACCCCAACCAAGGCCCGCCACAACCAUACCUUGCAGUGUGCCCUCCUGCCCCGCCGGGAUACCCUGGUCCUGGCACAGGUCCCUGCCCUGGCGGCGUGGCAGUCUGCCCCCCGUGCCCUGCUCCACCUGGCCAGCACCCGCACGGGCACCCCCCAUCAGGGCAUCACCCCCAUGGGCACCCCCCAUCGGGGCAUCACCCCCAUGGGCACCCCCCAGCAGGCCAUCACCCCCAUGGGCACCAGGAUCACCAUAAGAAGCACCAUAAGAAGCACCAUAAGAAGAAGCACUGCAAGCACCACGGAGACAAGCCCUCAGGUGGCUCCUGCAGCUCAAGCAGCUCAAGCAGCAGCUCUGACUCUGACUGAACGUCUGGCGUGUCCCACCUGCUCCGCGGUGAUCAGCGAAACAUGAGGCCAAAGUCCUCGUAGGAACCCCCUGCAUGGCGCUCCCCUCCCUCCCCCUUUCCCUUGGAACAGCGUUUUGCCUGCUGAGUGAUUUCUCUUAUGUGUAGCUUGUAAGUCCUUUGACCUGGAAUCUCGGAGUCAAUGGACAGCAUGUCCACCCUCUAUCUUUCGGGAGAGCCUGCUGAAACUCAUCAUGUGCUGUUUUCCAA